CCCACUUCCAUUUGGUGUACCUGAUUUUCUAUCUUUUCACAUAAAUGUGAGAGCCAGUGUUUCUUCUGAAAAAAUAAUAAUCAAAAAAUGCUUUUGAGCUAUUUUGUUAUUUUAAAUCCAGAAGUGGUAAUGGAAGAAUUUAGUUAUCAAUUUUACUGUUUUCCUCACAGUUAGUAAAGGAAAACUGUGACUUCCUUGCUUCACCUAUCAUUAUGGAAAUUGGCUGUUUUUGCCUGGUAGAGAAAUUAGGAGCUCCAGGUGGCUUUCUGAUUGCCUUCCUGCUUCUCAGAUUCUUCUUUGAUUUUUGUGGAUGCUUCUUUGAGUAACCCAUUCAACCCCAGUGUUCCAGGAGUUGCUGCAGCUGUGGGACCUACAGAGCCAGGGCCCAGAGCCACCAAGGGCAAGCUCUGCAAAGCCAGCCUUCCCAUGAGGCCCCAGCUACUCAGAAUCCCUUGAGCCCUUGGGGCACUUUGCUAGCCCCUACCCAGGGAAUGGCCAGGCAUGUGGAGCUAUUGAUGCAGAUGCAGCUGCUAAAGGUGUUCACGUGGGAACAGCUGUGUGCCACCCAGAGGAGCCAGCCCAGGAGUUAGAGAAAUGACGACAGUAGGAACAAGACCUGCAGUGCAACCAAAUGCAAGCAGAAGUGGAGUGACGGCACCAUCAGCCACUUCAAGAAGGUGUCCUUUGAAGAGAGUGGAGCCUUACAGGAAACUUCACUGAGGAACAAUGACCAGGAAAGGGCUACUUCCUGAAGAAUAAGAUCA
Heterocephalus glaber (naked mole-rat) is the source of this 764-nucleotide long non-coding RNA. NCBI's taxonomy places the organism in Eukaryota, Metazoa, Chordata, Mammalia, Rodentia, Bathyergidae. The record is from Ensembl.